RNAcentral lists this unclassified non-coding RNA (255 nucleotides) under uncultured Parcubacteria group bacterium. Its description in RNAcentral is "contains 16S-23S intergenic spacer region". It matches the Rfam family "Bacterial small subunit ribosomal RNA", at positions 524 to 776 of the family's 1533-position model. The record is from RNAcentral.
UACGAGGGCUUCAAGCGUUAUCCGGAAUUAUUGGGCGUAAAGCGUACGCAGGCUGCUUAGUGCGUCUCGUGUGAAAUCUCAACUGCUCAACAGUGAGAAUUGCGCGGGAUACGGCUAGGCUAGAGAAUGUGAGAGGUUAGUGGAACUCAAAGUGUAGGGGUGAAAUCCGUUGAUAUUUUGGGGAACACCGAAGGCGAAGGCAGCUAACUGGCACAUUUCUGACGCUCAGGUACGAAAGCGUGGGUAGCGAAUGGG